Callithrix jacchus (white-tufted-ear marmoset) is the source of this 20563-nucleotide non-coding RNA. Lineage: Eukaryota; Metazoa; Chordata; Mammalia; Primates; Cebidae. The record is from RefSeq and is a predicted model, not a curated record.
AAAGGUCAUACAAGUAAAGAAUUCUUAACUGGGUUUGGAACUCAUGUUUUCCAGCAUAUGUCUUUUUUAAAAUUCCUUUUGUCUCUUUAAUGCUAAAAACCCAGAAUAAGUCUUCACAAAAAUAUCCUAGCAUAAAUUCUUAAUGGUGAGGGAUAAUCUUUCUUCUCACUCCCCAUCAGUGCACAUAGUGCGAAUGAGACAGAAGUGUGGGAUGAAACAGAUGAGGAGGAUGGAGCAGCACAUGUGUGGGUGAGGCAGAAACAAGAGAGAAUGGCUUUGAAUGUGACAGAUCCAUCAGAUACACCCCUGAAGCCUGCAGACAGGAUGGUCUCCAGGAGGAUGUGCUCUAAGAAAAUGACUGGCUCUGAAACUAUCUGAUGAAUGAUCUUCUACUAAGGACUAAAACUUUAAUCAGGUCUUCACUAAAUGGUCACCUUCACGAUGGGCUCUACUCUGAUUGCCAUUCUUAUCCCCACCCAACCUCUGAAUGCUGUAUAGGUGUGGCACCAGUAUCUGCUCAGCUUCUGUGAGGCCUCAGGAAGCUUACAAUCAUGUAAGAAGGUGACUGGAAGCCAGCAUGUCAUAUGGUGAGAAUGGGAGAAAGAAAGAAGGGGGAUCUCAUGUGAAUUAAAUGAGGAAGCACUCACUUAUUAGCAAGGGGAUGAUGCUAAACCAUUUAUGAGAGAUCUUCCCCCAUAAUCCAGUCACCCCCAACUGGGCCCCAUCUCCCACACUGAGAAUCACAUUUUAUCAUGAGAUUUAGAGGGAAACCAUAUCCAAACUAUAUCAGGUGUCUAGAGCUUUUGGUCCAAGGAAAGUCCCCCAGCUACUAGCUAUACCAAAAUGCCAUUUCUAUUUUUAGACUUUUUGCAUGUGUCUAGUAUACUAUUUUAAUGUAUUAAAAAAAUACAAAUCUGAAAUGGGACACCAAUUAUAACACAGCUACAAGCUAAGCUGUUUUGACUGAAAAAGUGGAGUAUAUCUGGAGGCUGGCCUGCACACUCUUACUCUUUGCUCAUUUGUGGUGUCUGAGGUAUCUCAUCAGCAUCCUAGUCUAAGGAACACAUUAAAAACAAUCAUUACUUCUCAUUAUUUGGGGACUGUGGCAUUUGACUCAUAAUCUUUCUUCCCACACCUCACUGUGCAAACCUCAGCAGUAUGAGGGUCCACAUGGGCAGCCUGGCCUCUUAGAUGCCUUCAACUACUGUGUGAUGUGCUGCCUCAUUCACUUCAUCCUCCUAUUUCAGUGACCACACUGGAACUCUUACUUUCUGAAGUUUUAAUCUCCUUUACUCUCUGAUAAAAAUUUCUCUGUCAAGCUCUCUUUUUUUUCCACCAAACCUACUUCAUGGCUAUUAAAUCUGUUCUUAGCUAUCAUCACCCUUACCAGUUCUUUUCUUUGUGUCCAUCGAACUCUCUUGACCACACUCUCUUGCUUUCAUAGCCGGGACAAUCACUCUCUUACUAGCAAAUAAAUUUUGGUCCCCUCUGUUGUUUUCCUGCUUCUCUUAAGGCAGAAGAGAUACUCUCCCAAAUCCUCCUCCCUAUGGCCAGACCUCCAGUAGAAGAAAAUUCUGACAUCUCUUACUGAGCUUGCUCCUUUCAGGAGAGGAGGAAUGACUUACCUGAUUGGUAAAUUUUAGAAGCAGAUCUAAGCAUGCUUAGAUGCUCCUUCUAGAUCUUCUUUGGGAUUUGGCUGCUUGCAGAGAGAGUGCAUUUUACUCUAUUCCUCCUUGAUGUAAAGAGGGAGUCCUCACAUUAUUUGGCACUGCCUAACUUUUGGGUCAUUCUGUAAAUUAGCAUUUAUCAUUAAAGGUUGUUUCGUAUUACUCCCUUUUCUGCCAAAAAUUACAAAUAAUCACUAAGUCUCAGUCAGUUCUUAAAUAUCAAUCUUGAUAUUUUUACUCAGCUGCCCAAAUGCCACUAGAAGGAAAUAAUAAAUCAGUACUAUUGACUGGUAUUGUAAAUUCACAGUGGACCCUGGAUGGUGCUGAGAAGUCCUUCCCUUGCCAUUGAGGAAUGCUUUCUUUAGCUCCUUUCGGCAGCUCCACUCACACUCACUGACUUUUCUGAGAGUCUUGCCUGCCCUGCCCUGGCCAAGACCAUCAGAUGAUGGCAUUUCCUGAACAUCAAGAAGCAAAUGAACAUGAAGGCUCUUAAAUCUCUACUCCAACACCCAUAAUGUUAUUCUAUCCUUGCACAUCUUCUCUGUCUUCCGUCUCAUCUUAGGAAAGCAUAUCCCCAUCCCCAAGCUGGUCCAGGUUAAUUUAUUAAUUUGUCUUUUGACCCUAUCCUUUUAUUUCCCUUGCAUUCUUACUGGAUUCAUCAGUUCCUCUCUCCUUUCUCCCAUCAUUGCCUGCUCUAUCAGUUCCUAUUUCAUGCACUAAAAACAUAGUCAAAUGUCUCUCAUCUUGGAUUAAAAAGUUUUUUUCCUUGGUUCCAUGUAGCUCUCUAGUUACAGCCAAAUUUUGGCUUCAGUCUGUCCUAGUUCUCUGCCUCCUUGUCCCACAUUUACUUUUCUCUUCAUUUCCAUCAGGUUUUUCUGCCUCCCUCACACCCCAAUACAUACUAAAUCAAUCCUAAAAUGGUCUUCUCACAUGGUUUUUAUUACCAGGUGUCUAGGAAAUGCUCUGAAAUCUCUUUCUCUACAUUUCUCCCAACUGUUUGUGUACAAGGGCAAUACAGGCUGUCCAUCUGAGCUCCACCAAAUUUUCAAACAUGAUGAUGUGCCAAGCAGAAUGAUUACAUCCUCUCUAGUCUCUACCUUUCCUCCCCAUCUUGUUCUCACCCCUUUAAACAUGUGUUUUCUAUAUUAGUUAAUGGCAGCCUUGUCAUUUCAGCAUCCUAAAUCAGAAACUUUGGAGUCACUCUAGAAUGAGUUCUUCUCUCUUCUACCCUCCCACAUGACCCUCUCCUAAUGUGUAUUCACGGACUGAGGUUAACUGUUUUCUAAGCAUUUUGUCUCCUGGCUAUUUACUUUACUAUCGUGACACAGUUCAUGCCUCUGUCUCUUGCCUAUACCAUUGCUAUGACAUCCCAAAUGACUUAACUGCCUUAAGUGUCUGCCUCUCUUCAUAAUUUCCUUCCUAAUGCUACAGAAAUAAUUUUUGAAAUGCCAAUCUGAUCAUGUUACUCUAACAUUUAGACCUCUGGUUUUGCGUUGUAUCUAGGAUGAAUGCCCAGCUUCCUUUUCAUGGCAUGUAAUAUUCUCCACAGUCCUGUUCCUGCCUACUCUUCUCCUGUGGCUGCCUCACUCAAGCUGUCAUACUGUGGCUGUGUGAAAUAUUUUCCUCCCAACAGAAUUUUUCUUCAUCCUUUAAGUCCUAGCUGAAGGGUUACCUGCUCAGUAAGGCCUUAUCACAUUAUAUUGCAUUAUUUAUUUAUGUGUUUAAUUUCCUAGACUGGGAACUGAUUGAAGCUAUCACUUUGUCUUUUUAUCCAGUAUGUAACACAGUGACUAGCACAUAGCACUUAGAGAUUUUCACCAAAUAAAGUUGAAAAAUGCUACAGAUUGACAAGAUACAAUCGAAAGGAAAUAUACCAAAUUAAAAAUAAUAGGUGUGUGCAACUGAUAGGAUCUAGACUAAUUUAAAAAUUCUUCUACUAUAACUGGUAAAAUCAUUUUAUAAUGAGAAGAGGUACACAAUUUGUAGAAAAAUGAUAUAGCAGGAGAAACUCAUGAUGAAUGUAUUUCAAAGUUAACAUUUUGAAGAAUGGCUCAAGAUAAGUAAGUUGCUUAGACCUUGGGCUCAGGGACUGAGUGAAAAAAAAGAGAGAAAGAAAGAAUAAAACAAGCUAAAAAGGGUAAAAUUUAACGUUAUUCUAUAUGUAUUAAGGUUCUGUAGAGGACCAGAAUCUAAUAGAAUACAUGUAUAUAUGAAAGGGAGUUUAUUAAGGAGAAUUGACUCACAUGAUCACAAGGUGAAGUUCCACAAUAGGCUGUCUGCAACUCGACAAAAAGGGAAGCCAGUGGUGGAUCAGUCCAAGUCACAAAACCUCAAAAGUAGGGAAGCCAACAGUGCAGACGUCAGUCUGUGGCCAAAGGCCCAAGAUCCCCCCGCAAACACUGGUGUAAAUCUAAGAGUCCAAAGCUGAAGAGCUGGGGGUCUGAUGUUCGAGGGCAGGAGCCAUCCAGCUAGGUUGAAAGAUGAAGGCUGGAAGGCUCAUCAAGUCUAGUCCUUCCACUUUCUUCGGCCUGCUUUAUUCUAGCCAUGCUGAUAGCUGAUUGGAUGGUGACCACUCAGCUUGAGGGUGAGUCUGCCUCUCCCAGUCCACUGAUUCAAAUGUUAAUCUCCUUUGGAAACACCCUCACAGACACACCCAGGAACAGUACUUUGCAUCCUUCAAUCAAAUGCUGUUGACACUUAAUAUUAACCAUCACACUAUAUGUAUUUUUUUCAUUUAUGCAUUUAAAAUGUUCAUCCAUUCAAAUGCUCUUUAAAUCAUUUAUACCUCACUUUGUUUCAGUAAGGCAUAAAGUAAACUUGUGAUGAAGGAUAAAAUCUAGAAAGACUAAGUAAAUUAAAAUUAUUUUAGAAAAAAAUGAGGCUAAAGAAAAAUAAAGCCAGCUAAGUAAAACAAAGGCAGGAUUAAUAUUAAUACUUCAAGUUUAAGCUGUGAGGCUCUGUGUACUGCCCAGCAGGGAGUCAUAGAAUUGACUUUCUAGUGAUCAGAGAGGGAAAAGUAAUUGGUGAUAAUAUGCAUAAGGACUGUAACAUAGAAUCAAUUUAUUUGGGAAUUUAUCUACUAAGAUCAGUGAGAAAAUUUUUCUAGGGAUCCUUAGGGAAAAGAGAUGACAUUAUGUGAUAAAAUAUAUGCUUAUCAACAUCUUUAAAUAUAUACAACAUUGAGUUUCGGAUCAAUUUCUCAUAAGGUUCAUCAAUGUAGGAAAAUAGACCUGAUGAGAUAGUAAUUCAGUAGGAUGUAUUCUCUAGAGGACAAAUAUGAUCAUUCUUUGAUAUGAUCCAAUGUAGCAAAGGCUCUGAAUUGUUCACUUAAAUGUAGAUUCAUGAGUUUUUCCCAUCUCCACUACUCCUCAUCCCCCUAGAGAUUCUGACUCAGUAGUUUGGAAGUAGAUUCCUAGAAUUUUUGUUUUAGAUAAUCAACCUGGAAGUUUAGACAAGAAGUCUAAAAAUCACACUUAAUGCUGAUUUUUGAGUAUUUAGAGGAACAAGUGAACUGCAUAAACUUCAUCCAAUCAUUUGAAAAUUUGGUUUCUCUAAACUGAGCUAAAAUCCAGAUAAUUUGAGCUUGUAUUAUCUGGCCAAUAUGUGUGAUAUAGUUGGUCUAUAUGUCAGUUCAUUAUAAAACUAUCUCUUUAAUAGUUUAACCAAGCUACUAAUAAAAUACAUUUCUUAAUAUUUACAAGAUGGUACAAAACAAAGUUUUACUAAAUUGAAGCCCUUAGAGUCAGUAUUGAGUCUUUAAAAAAACAAAUAUUGGACUAACUCUGAAACAUGCAUCAACUAAUGAUUUAGAACUCAAGUUUCAAUUACAUGAAACAUGACUGACCUAAUUUUAGCCUGUAAAAAAUUAAAAUAGAUGCAACCAGAAUAAAUAAAUUAGAUGUAUCUUUGGCCAUGAGGAACUAUUAUACCUCUAAAAUACGUUCAGCUUUAAGUGUUGAUUCCUCCUAGUGAAUCCUCAGGAUAAACUUGUACCAUUGUAGUGUUUAAGAUGGUUCCCAAGAAUCCCUGCCUCCUUGUGCUCAUGUCUUUGUUUAAUCCCCUCCUGCAGAUUAUUUGUUGAAUUUAUGUACUCAGUUUUAACAAAUAAAAUGUGGAAGAAGUAAUGAGACAUCCUUUUUUUUUUUGAGAUGGAAUCUUACUCUGUCGCCCAGGCUGGAGUGCAGUGGCGCCAUCUUGGCUCCCUGCAACCUCUGCCUCCUGGGUUCAAGUGAUUAUCUUGCCUCAGCCUCCCAAGUAGCUGUGAUUAUAGGUGCCCACCGCCACAUCCAGCUAACUUUUGUAUUUUUAGUAGAGAGGUGUUUCACCAUGUUGGUCAAGCUGAUCUUGAACUCAUGACCUCAGAUGAUCCACCUGCCUCAGCCUCCCAAAGUGCUGGGAUUAUAGGCAUGAGUCAUCAUGCCUGGCUGGGAUUUCAUUUUUAAGAUUGGGUUAUAAAAAGACUGUGGCUUCCAUUUUGGGUGUAAUUUCCUGCUUCGUGCUCUUUCUCUCUUUCUCUCUUUCUCGCUCUCUCUCAUUUCUCUUGAUGGGAAGAAGUUGACGUAUUAGCAGCCCUGUGAGAGACCCACAUGGCAAGGAACUAAAGCCUGAAAUCAUCAGCCAGCAAGGAGUGGAGGCAUGCCAGCCACCUGUGAAUGAGUUAGGAAGUCAGUCUUCCAGUUCUAGUUGAGACUUGAGAUGACUGCACCACUGGGCAAUAGCUUGACCACAACCUCAUGAGACACCACGUCUACCCAAGUCAGCUGCUUCUGGAUUCCUGACCUUCAGAAACUUUGCUGUUAUAAGCCACUAAACUUUUGGGGUAUUUGUUAUGGUGUAAUAGAUAACUGAUACAAACGUGAACAUAUAAACAACUGAGAUUGCUUGCCAUAUGCAAGCAUAUACUAUAGACUUGUUGAAAUACUGACUUUCUUUGGAACAAGUGACCUAUAAUUAUUUUUUCUGGAAGCCAUUCAAUAACAAGGCCAGUCAUCUACUGACACCAUUCCUAUUUUGUAAGACUAGAAAAGCUUGAGAGGAUACACAUUUUUCUCUUAUCUGCAUUGGAUAACUAUUCAUUGGGAAAUGCUUAGAAAUCAUUAAGGAUAUAGGACACAAGUCAAAUUUAUUCCUUCUGGAAUUAUCAUCCUCUGUCAUAUGGAAAUACUGUUUGUAUAGAACUUGCUUCAAAAUAGGACUGACUUGGCUGGGUGUGGUGGCUCACACCUGCAAUCCCAGCACUUUGGGAGGCUGUGAGGGUAGAUCACCUGAGGUCAGGAGUUUGAGACCAGCCUGGCCAACAUGGUGAAACUCUGUCUCUACUAAAAAUAUAAAAAUUAGCUGGGCAUAGUGGUGGGUGACAAUAAUCCUAGUUAUUCGGGAGGCUGAGGCAGGAGAAUUGCUUGUGCUUGGGAGGUGGAAGUUGUGGUGAGCUGAGAUCACACUAUUGUACUCCAGCCUGGGCAACAGAAAGACACUCUGUCUCAAAAAAAAAAAAAAAAAAAAUAGGAUUCACUCACUAGCUGUCCAGGUUGACUCUGGAGUAUUGCCACUAAUGAUUGUUGUCCACAGUCAAAGGUCCAGUUGAAUAAACUUUAGUGAGGGUCAACGAUGUGUUCAAUAGUGAAAUAUUGUGGGCAGAGAUGAAUAAUCUUUGUCCUUGUCCUCAUGGAACUCACAAUCCGGGAGAAGUUUCAGAAGCAGGGAGGGGAAGAAAGGAAGAGAAAGGGGGAAGGACAAAGACUGCAUGAAGGAAAGGCUCAGAGGUGCAAAACAGAGUUUGGUAUGGCCUGAUGGUAAUGUGUUUGGAUGGCAGAGAUGAGGCAGGAAAUGAGAGAAGGCCAAGGGAUAAACUUGGAUCUUUAGACAGAUCCAGAUCAGAGAGGAAAGGCCAUGUGGCAAAAAGAGCCAAACCUGGGUAUUAUUUCCAUGUACCAAUUUUAACAUAAGGGAUUUUUUUUUAAAACUUGAGUUAUAAUUUCUCAUUUGUAACGUAGCAAUGGCAAUGCCUAACACACAUGCUACCUUGUUGACUUUAAACUGAAAUAUAUCCUCUGCUUAUAUAUAUUAUUAAAAUAUUAAUGUUAAGCCAGAAUUUAUCAGCAUCUUAGGGAACGUGCAAAUAUAACACAUCUUUAAUCAGAAGCAAUAUUUUUCUGUUAAAUCUUAUGAACAUUGAAGCUCUGUCUUCAAGAAAGGAAAUACAGAUCUUAGGGCAGAAGAGAAGCAGAACAAAAUCAUAUAAGGAUGUGAAGAGUUGUGUUAUGUAAGCUGCCCUGAUUCUGUCACUUAACCCUUUUCUCAUUAAAAAAAAAAAUGUGCAGCUCGCUGCCAGCACUCAUUUAAUUUUACAUAAACAUGCUCUUUGAGGCUGAAGCAAAUCUGACUGGUUUUCAACGUGAAAAUAAAAUAUAAAAACUGUUCUUGGAGUUAUUUAUAAACAGAACUAACAUCAGAAUCGUCUGAAUCAUCAGAAUUGUCUAUUUCAGAAAAAUCAGAUUCGUCAAAUAGAUCUUCAGCCACCAACUGUUUGAGAAUGAUGUUAACAUCAUGCAUAGGAAGGCUGUGUUUUCUAGGAUUUGACAUUUUCAGUGAUUGAGAAUUGCUAUAUUUUGUAAAUCGAAAUACCACUACUAAAACCAGAAUGCUAUAAAUAGUAUGUCUUUUGUUUCCAAAGUUGGUAUACUGAGGCGAUGCAAAAAUAAUAAUGAAAAUGAGAUAUUUCCUGGCAUCAUUAUCCUGGGGUAAAUGCUGUAGCCGCAAGCACCACCAGUAAGAAUUCUCUGGGCAAAUAGGAAAAAGGUUAAAAAAAUUAAACAGUUUCAAUUUGAUUUAUGUAAUCAUAUUUGAUCAUUUGAAUAUACUUAUACUUACUAUUUGAGCUUAAACAUGUUGAAACUCCUUAAGGAGGGUGAAAAUGUACAUCUUGUCAUUUUAGGUCACAUUUUCACUAAGGAAGAUUUGUUAAAAUUAAUGAAUAAAAUUUUAUCUAACCACCUGAAAUGUGUUGACAUCUUUACCCUGAUCUUUCAUUUAUGUUACUAUACCCUGAAUUGGAGCCUUGGGGAAUUUCAGGAGAUGAGAACUUUUGGAGUAUUAUUGUUUUUGUUUUCUAAAGUUUUAUUGGAGAAAAUACAAUUAAAAAAAUAGAUUGCAUUGUCCCUUUUGCUAAUUUCUGUUAAGCAGUUUAAUUUUUGGUCUCUUGUGAUAUCUAGGCUAUGUUUCCAGAAGAAAAACACUAGGGAGAAAUAAAGCAUUAGCUUUAAUGAUAUGUGGAGAUAUUUGAGAAAAUGAACUUCUAAGCUAAGAAAUUUCUCAUCUCCUUUAGCUUCCACAGUGAAGCUAAGGACCAAAUUUGAAGGUUGAAUUGAGAUAAAUGCUCAAGGAGCACCAUUCUCGUUCAGUCAACUGGAUUUCGGAGCUCAGGACUGUGGCUCUGAAGGAUCAGUGAGAAUGAGUAGGCUCACAGUGAAAAGGCAAACUUGCAGGUGCUCCAUUGCUGAAGGAAGAAAUUACAGUGGAAUUGAAAUGCCAUAUUUUCCCAUAUGUAUCCAGAGGGAACAUUCUAGGGAGGAAAAAAGGAAAAUCCAAGGGCUGGACUUUUUGAGCGUCCUCCAAUAAAAACAUCGUGAUGUCAUAUUAUAUUAAUUUAAUGACCAAAUAAAUAUAGAAACCAAAUACAGAAACUGUAAUUAAAUAUACUCUUGAGAACAUAAUUAUGUAAGUAGUACUGCUUUUUAAUGUGUAACAAAAGCAGGGAACAGAGACUUUGGACAGGUACUGCAUUCUAAUAAUCCAAAUUUCCUUUUAUUAAAAAUAUUUCUCAAAGCAAAUCUCCUUAUGUGUUUCCCGUUGAGAACUUUCCCUCAUCAAUCUGCCUUGGCUUGGAAGCUGUUGCAUUUUCUUUUUCCUUUUUUUUUUAAUCCCUCUCAUCUUUCCACUCAUGUUUCUGUACCAGCCUCUUUGUGUCCUCCUGGACUUACAGCUCCCCCCCAUCGUGCCAUCUGCUGCCUCCUACUUGAGUCAACAGUGGUAACAGACAAAACUUCUGCAUUCAAAAUAAUAGCACAUUCAGGGGCAUGUCUUCAAUCUCAUUCUUUUUCGGAUGUAACAGAUUACUGUAAGCUCCGUGCUUCUGACCAGACCACACUGCCCUAAUAAUGGUUAGAAGAAAAAUAGUGAACCACUGUUGGUUAUUUACUUUAUCUUUUGUAUUUUUAUUAUUUUAUAUGGCACAUAAAGAACUGAUUUAUCAAUAUUCUUAUAUAGGUAACCAAGCAUUCAUAUAAUUUUGGAAACAUUUGGAUGAUAAAUGACAAAUGACAGAAACUGUAAUGUUGGAAAGUUAUACACUUUCUUCAAAAACAUAUAAUUUUAUUUCUAAUCAUAUCACGAAUAGGAAUAGGAAAGGAAAAAUUGUGCACUUUAGAAGCUAAAGUACCAUGUUUUAAUUUUAUGCCAUUGAUUUUUUUAGGCAAGUCAAGGGGGAAAAUACCACAUUAAAAGAUGCCUAAACAUAUUCACGUGAUAACUUGUUUACUUAAGCCAGGGUAAUUUAAUGUGCUUCAACUAUGUGUCAAGAGCCACAUUACAAUUCCAUAAAACAAGUCUUAAAUCACAAAGGAGGUAGGAAGAAUAAAGGAACAGCGGAGGAAACGUUAAGGGACAUGGUAACAGCAUAAUUGGCAGUACAAAUUGUCGAGUACUGAACACACCAGAAAGAUGCAGCUUUUGCCAGCAAUAACAGAGAGGGAAAAUAUUUUCCAUGGUAAAUCCAAGUACAGGGCAUACGGCUGUAUAGCUAUUAAAGAACCCACAGAGACAUAUAAAAAGAAAGCCUGCUUUAUGUCUUGUUUAUCACAUUACUAGUGGUAGUUUACAAAGAUUUACAUUAUCUAUAAAUCACUUAAAGAAACAAGGGUUAGUGGGCAUGAUUUUUAUUUCAAACUUUGGUUUAGGUUUGUGACAAUGAUUAAGGUAAAUUAUUUUUAAUUUGCAUACCUUAAGGACCUUCACAAACUUUGCAUCAUUUCCAAAUAUUCUAACAAUUUUAAACAGUUGAUCUAUUUUCUAAAGGUGUUUGGUUAGUCAGCUUUUACUGUGAUAACAAACAACCAUAUUAUCCAAUAGCUUAUAGGAACAAAUGUCUAUUUCUGACUCAGAUUGUAAGACAGCUUCAGGUCAGUGCACUGUGUUGGCUGGGCUUGGCUCAGCUGAGCUUAGCUCUAUGUAGCUGCUCUCUUCAGGGCUCAGGCUGAAGGAGCAUCUUUCAUCUGGGUCAUGCUGUUCUCAUGAGAGUGGGCAGAACAUGAGAGGUAGAGCAGAAACAUGCAAGCACAGCUUAAGGUGGCCUGAGUCAAGUCUGCUCAUGCUUUGAUGGUCAAAACAAGUCACAGGGCUAAGCCUAAAGUCAGUAGAGUGGAGGUACAGUCCUUCUCCUGAGAAAAAUUGCAAAAACGAGGAAGAAAUGAAAAAUUGAGAACAGAUAAUGCAAUCUAAUACUGUUGGUAAAAGGUAAGUUUUUAAUUAAUAUUUUUGGAAGAUCCAUCUGGUAAAAACCUUCUGUCAAAGGUUGUUGAUAAUAUUCUUUUUUUUUUUUUUGAGGCAGAGUUUUGCUCUUGUUACCCAGGCUGGAGUGCCAUUGCACCACAUCGCAUUGUGGUGGUGCGAUCUCGGCUCACCACAACCUCCACCUCCUGGGUUCAGGCAAUUCUCCUGCCUCAGCCAAACGAGUAGCUGGGAUUACAGGCAUGCACCACCAUGCCCAGCUAAUUUUUUGUAUUUUUAGUAGAGACGGGGUUUCACCAUGUUGACCAGGAUGGUCUCGAUCUCUUGACCUCGUGAUCCACCUGCCUUGGCCUCCCAAAGUGCUGGGAUUACAGGCGUGAGCCACCGGUUGAUAAUAUUCUUGAGCAGUAAUCUACAGUUUAUUCUAAAUCUUUAUUGUCAUCCCUUCCCUGAAACAUUUGACAAGUUUUGACCAUUUCUUCCUUGAAAAUUUCUUUUCUUUUUGCUUCUAUAGUAUUAUUUCUGGUUCUUUUCUUACCUGAGUACCUCUCUGGGCCUUCUUUAAUUUUCUUUCUUCUCAGAGUCCUGAAAAUGAGAAUUUUCUAAUGGUUCUCUUAUUGGCUCUCUUAUUGCUAAGCCAUCCUAAUUAUAACUACUCUUAGGAGUUAAAUGAUCUCUUCAAUGUGGAAACAACUCAAAUGAGGUUUUUCAAUCGUGACUUCUAGAACCAUACUUCCAUCUACCCUCUGGAACUUCUAUUUGAAUGAUUUUUGCACCUUAAAUUCAAUUUUGUCAUAAGAAACUUGUCAUCUUUCCAUGUAAAUGUAUCCCUUCUGAUGUCCCUGUUACUAAUAGCAGCGUCAUUUUCUAGGAAAUUCUGACUCAGAACUAUGAGUUGUAUUUGACUCUUUCUUCCAACAUCUAAUCAAUGAAUGCUAAGUCAUAGGAUAUUCCAGCAUCACAAUGUUUCCCAUAUCUAUCCUCUUAUUUCUUCCUGCCAUUAUCAUUUUAGUUUAUAUCUUCAUUCCAUCCCAACCUCUUAAAAUAAGAAAUAGUCUCCUUCAUUCUUCUUUCUAUUCUGGCUUCUCACUUAUCCCCAGGAUUUCCAGAUCAGAACUCACAGACCUUUCUGUAACCCUUUGGGUCUACAUCAAUCACAAAUUUAGUCUGAUAUACAAGACUUUUCACAAUAUGCUUCUAACUCAACUUUUUGAGAUUAUCUUCUAAAAGUUAACGUUAAUGGAAGCUCCCAUAAAAAUAGAUAAUAUUUCUUUAACACAUCUAAAAUUUCCCACUUAAUUGUCCUUAUUCACUUUUUGUUUUGUCUAGAAUAUAUCCCUUAACUAAACUUUUUUUGGGUCUGUAUUUACUUUUUUAAUUGUACUUUAAGUUCUGGGGUACAUGUGCAGAUCAUGCAGGAUUGUUGCAUAGGUACACACAUGGCAAAGUGCUUUGCUGCCUCCUUCCCCUGGCACCUAUAUCUGGCAUUUGUCCCCAUGUUAUCCCUCCCCAACCUCCCCAGUCCCCACUGUCCCACCUCUAGUACCCCAGAAGACCCUCCCUGUAUCCAUGUGUUCUCAUUGUUCAACACCUGCCUAUGAGUGAGAAUAUGUGGUGUUUGAUUUUCUGUUCUUGUGUCAGUUUGCUGAGAAUGAUGGUUUUCAGAUUCAUCCAUGUCCCUACAAAGGACAUGAACUCAUUGUUUUUUAUGGCUGCAUAGUAUUUCAUGGUGUAUAUGUGCCACAUUUUUGUCAUCCAGUCUGUCAUCGAUGGGCAUUUGGGUUGGCUCCAGGUCUUUGCUAUUGUAAACUGUGCCACAGUGAACAUACAUGUGCAUGUGUCUUUAUAAUAGAACAAUGUAUAAUCCUUUGGAUAUAUACCCAGUAAUGAGAUUGCUGGGUCAAAUGGAAUUUCCUUUUUUUUUUUUUUUUGAGACAGAGUUUCGCUCUUAUUACCCAGUGAAAUGGUGCAAUCUCAGCUCAUCACCGCAGUCUCUGCCUCCUGGGUUCAAGCAAUUCUCCUACCUCAGCCUCCCAAGUAGCUGGGACUACAGGCUGUACCACCAUGCCCAACUAAUUUUUGUAUUUUUAGUAGAGACAGGGUUUCACCAUGUUGACCAGGAUGUUCUUGAUCUGUUGAGCUAGUGAUCCACCCAACUCAGCCUCCCAAAGUGCUGGGACUAUAGGUGUGAGCCACCUGCGCCUGGCCUGCAAUUUGUAAUUCUAGGUCCUUGAGGAAUCACCACGCUGUCUUCCACAAUGGUUAAAAUAAUUUACACACACACCAACCGUGUAAAAGUGUUCCUAUUUCUCCACAUCCUCUCCAGCAUCUGUUGUCUCCAGAUUUUUAAAUUAUCACCAUUCUAGCUGGCAUUUGAUGGUAUCUCAAUGUGGUUUUGAUUUGCAUUUCUCUAAUGACCAGUGAUGAUGAACAUUUUUUCAUGUUUCUUGGCCUCAUGUAUGUCUUCUUUUGAAAAGUAUCUGUUCAUGUCCUUCACCCACUUGUGAAUGGGUUUGUUUCUUUCUUGUAAAUCUGUUUUACUUUUUUUGUAGAUUCUGGAUAUUAGCCCUUUGUCAGAUGGGUAGAUUACAAACAUUUUUUCCCAUUCUGUUGGCUGCCGGUUCACUCUAACGAUUGUUUCUUUUGCUGUACAGAAGCUCUGGAGUUUAAGUACAUCCCAUUUGUCUAUUUUGGCUUUUGUUGCCAAUCUUUUUGGUGUUUUAGUCAUGAAGUCCUUGCCUAUGCCUAUGUCCUGAAUGGUAUUGCCUAGGUUUUCUUCUAGGGUUUUUAUGGUGUUAGGUCUUAUGUUUAAGUCUUUAAUCCAUCUGGAGUUAAUUUUAGUGUAGGGUGUCAGGAAGGGGUCCAGUUUCUGUUUUCUGCACAUGGCUAGCCAGUUAUCCUAACAGCAUUUCUAAACAGGGAAUCCUUUCCCCAUUGCUUGUUUUUGUCAGGUUUGUCAAAGAUCAGAUGAUUGUAGAUGUGUGACAUUGCCUCUGAGUCCUCUAUUCUGUUCCAUUGGUCUAUAUCUCUGUUUUGGUACCAGUACCAAGCUGUUUUGAUUACUGUAGUCUUGUAGUAUAGUUUGAAGUCAGGUAGCAUAAUGCCUCCAGCUUUGUUCUUUCUGCUUAGGAUUGUCUUGGCUAUGCAGGCUUUCUUUUGGUUCCAUAUGAAGUUUAAGGUGGUUUUUCCAGUUCUGUGAAGAGGGUCAUAGGUAGCUUGAUGGGUAUAGCAUUGAAUCUAUAAAUUACUUUGGGCAGUAUGACCAUUUUCACAAUAGUGAUUCUUCCUAACCAUGAGCAUGGAAUGUUUUUCCAGCUGUUUAUGUCCUCUCUUAUUUUCUUGAGCAGUGGUUCCUAGUUCUCCUUGAAGAGGUCCUUUGCAUUCUUUGUUAGUUGUAUUGCUAGGUAUGUUAUUCUUUCUGUAGCAAUUGUGAAUGGCAGUUCGUUCUUGAUUUUGUUCUCUUUUAGUCUCUUAUUGAAGUGUAAGAAUGCCUGUGAUUUCUGCACAUUGAUUUUCUAUCCUGAGAGUUUGUUAAAGUUGCUUAUCAAUUUAAGGAGAUUCUGGCCUAAAUAUACAAUCAUGUCAUCUGCAAAUAGAGACAAUUUGGCUUCCACCUUUCCUAAUUGAAUACCCUUUAUUUCUUUUUCUUGCCUGAUUGCUCUGGCUAGAAUUUCCAAUCCUAUAUUGAACAGGUAUGGUGAGAGAGGGCAUCCUUGUCUAGUGCCAGAUUUCAAAGGGAAUGCUUCCAGUUUUUGCCCAUUCAGUAUGAUAUUGGCUGUGAGUUUGUCAUAAAUGGCUUUUAUUAUUUUGAGAUAAGUUCCAUCUAUACCUAGUUUAUUCAGAGUUUUUAGCAUAAAGCACUGUUGAAUUUUGUUGAAGGCCUUCUCUACAUGUAUUGAGAUAAGUAUAUAGUUUUUGUCUUUGGUUCUGUUUAUAUGAUGGAUUAUGUUAAUAGACUUAUGUAUGUUGAACCAGCCUUGCAUCCCUGGGUUGAAGCCUACUUGAUCAUGAUGGAUAAGCUUUAGAUGUGCUGUUGCAAUCUGCUUGCCAGUAUUUUAUUAAGGAUAUUUGCAUCUAUGUUCAUCAUGGAUAUUGGCCUGAAGUUUUCUCUUCUUGUUAAAUCUCUGCCAGGUUUUGGUAUCAGGGUGAUGUUGUCCUCAUAAAAUGAUUAGGGAAAGAUUCUCUCUUUUUGGAUUGUUUGGAAUAGUUUCAGAAGGAGUGCUACCAGCUCCUCUUUGUAUGUCCUCUCUGAAUUUGGCUGUGAACCCAUCUGGACCUAGACUUUUUUUGGUUGGUAGGGUAUUAAUUGCUGCCUCAACUUCAGCCCUUGUUAUUGGUCUAUUCAGGGUUUCAACUUCUUUCUGGUUUAGCCUUGGGAAGGUGCAAGUAUCCAGGAAUUUUUCCAUUUCUUCCAGGUUUACUGGUUUGUAUGCCUAGAGUUGUUUGUAGUAAUCUCUGAUGGUAGUUUGUAUUUCUGUGGAAUUGGUGGUGUUAUCCCCUUUAUUCCCCUUUAUCAUUUUUAUUGCAUCUGUUUGAUUCUUCACUCUUUUCUUUUUUAUUAAUAUGGCUAGUGGCCUGUCUAUUUUGUUGAUCUUUUCAAAAAACCACCUCCUGGAUUUAUUGAUUUUUUAAGCAUUUUUUUUGUGCCUCUAUCCCAUUCAGUUCACUCUGAUUUUAGUUAUUUCUUGUCUUCUGCUAGCUUUUGAGUUUUUUUUUUAAUCUUGCUCCUGUAGCUCUUUCAAUCUUGAUGAAAGGGUGUCGAUUUUAGAUCUUUCCUUGCUUCUUAUGUGGGCAGUUAUUGCUAUAAAUUUUUCUCUAGUCACUGCUCUAAAUGUGUCCCAGAGAUUCUGAUACGUUGUGUCUUCAUUCUUGUUGGUUACAAAGAACAUCUUUAUUUCUGCCUUCAUUUCCUUGUUUAUCCAGUCAACAUUCAAGAGCCACUUGUUCAGUUUCCAAGAACUUGUGUGGUUUUGAGUUAGUUUCUUAAUCCUGAGUUCUAAUUUGAUUGCACUUUGGUCUGAGAGACUAGUUGUUAUGAAUUCCUUUCUUUUGCAAUUUGCUGAGGAAUGGUUUACUUCCAAUUAUGUGGUCAAUUUUAGAGUAGAUGUAAUGUAGUGGUGAGAAUGAUGUAUAUUCUGUGGAUUUGAGGUGGAGAGUUCUGAUGAUGUCUAUUAGGUAUGCUUGGUCCAGAUCUAAAUUCAAGUCCUGGAUAUUCUUGUUAAUUUUCUGUCUCAUUGAUCUGUCUAAUAUUGGUAGUGGAGUGUUAAAGUCUCCCACUGUUAUUGUGUGGGAGUCUAAGUCUCUUUGCAGGUCACUAAGAACUUGCUUUAUGUAUCUGGGUGCUCCUGUAUUGGGUAUGUAUAUAUUUAGGAUAGAUAACUCUUCUGGUUGCAUUGAUCCUUUUACCAUUAUGUAAUGCCCUUCUUGUCUCUUUUGAUCUUUGUUGGUUUAAAGUCUAUUUUAUCAGAGACUAGGAUGGCAACUCCUGCUUUUUUUUGCUCUCCAUUUUCUUGGUAAAUCUUCCUCCAUCCCUUUAUUUUGAGCCCAUGUGUGUUCUUGCGAUGGGUUUCCUGAAUACAGCACACUGAUGGGGUUUGACUUUUUAUCCAAUUUGCCAGCCUGGGUCUUUUGAUUGGGGCAUUUAGCCCAUUUACAUUUAAGGUUAAUACUCUUAUGUGUGAAUUUGAUCCUGCCAUUUUGAUGCUAGCUGGUUGUUUUCCUUGUUAAUUGAUGCAGUUUCUUCAUUGUGUCAAUACUUUUUGCCAUUUGGUACAUUAUUGAAGUGGCGAGUACUGGUUGUUCCUUUCUAUGUUUAGUGCUUCUUUCAGGAGCUCUUGUAAGGCAGGCCUGGUCGUGAUGAAAUCUCUCAGCAAUUGCUUGUUUGUAAAGGAUUUUAUUUCUCCUUUGCUUAUGAAGCUUAGUUUGGCUGGAUAUGAACUUCUAGGUUGAAAGUUCUUUUCUUUAAGGAUGUUGAAUACUGGCCCCCACUCUCUUCUUGCUUGAAGGGGUUCUGCCAAGAGAUCUGCUGUGAGUCUGAUGGGCUUCCCUUUGUGGGUAACCCAACCUUUCUCUCUGGCUGCCCUUAGCAUUUUCUCCUUCAUUUCAACCUUGGUGAAUCUGAUGAUUAUGUGCCUCGGGGCUGCUCUUCUUGCGGAAUAUCUUUGUGGUGGUCUCUGUAUUUCCUGGACUUGAAUGUUAGCCUGCCUUGCUAGUUGGGGAGGUUCUCCUGGAUAAUAUCCUGAAGAGUGUUUUCCAGCUUGGAUUCAUUCUCUCUGUCACAUUCUGAUACACCUAUCAAACAUAGAUUAGGUCUUUUCACAUAAUCCCAUAUAUCUUGGAGGCCUUGUUCAUUUCUUUUUUUUUUCUUUUUUAAAAGAUUAACUUUAUUGUGCAUAUUUAGGUUUACAACAUGAUGUUAUAGGAUACAUAUAGAUAGUAAAAUGGUUACUAUAGUGAUGUUCAUUUCUUUUCACUCUUUUUUCUCUAAUCUUGCCUUCUGAUUUUAUUUCAUUGAGUUGAUCUUCAAUCUCUAAUAUCCUUUCUUCUGCUUGGUCAAUCCGGCUAUUGAAACUAGCGUAUACUUUGCGAAGUUCUCUUGUUGUAUUUUUCAGCUCUAUUGUGUCAUUUAUAUUCUUCUCUUUGCUGUUUCUUCUUGUUAGCAUUUUGUCUAACCUUUUUUCAAGGUUCAUAGUGUUUUUGCAUUGGGUUAGAAUAUGUUCUUUUAGCUCAGAGAAGUUUGAUAUUACCCACCUUCUAAAGCCUGUUUCUGUCAAUUCAUCAGACUCAUUCUCCAUCUAGCUUUGUUCCCUUCCUGGUGUGCAGUUGUGAUUUCUUGGAGGAGGAGAGGCAUUUUGGUUUUUGGUGUUUUCAUCCUUUUUGUGCUGGUUUCUUCUCAUCUUUGUGGAUUUAUCUACCUGUGGUCUUUGUAGUUGGAGACUUUCAGAUGGGGUCUGUGAGUGGACAUUCCUUUUGUUGAUGUCGAAGUUAUUUCUUUCUGUUUCUUAGUUUUCCUUCUAAUAAUCAGGCCCCUCUGCUGGAGUCCUGCUGGAGAUCCACUCCAGACCCAGCUUGCCUGAGGAUCACCCACAGAGGCUGAAGAACAGUGAGGGUUACUGCCAGUUUCUUCUUGUGUUAUCUUCAUCCCAGAGGGUACCUGCCAGAUGUCAGCCUGAGCUCUCCUUUACGAGGUGUCUCUUUGGACAUACAGGGGUCAGGGAUCUGCUUGAGGAGACAGUCCAUUUCAUAUGGGAGCUCAAGUCUGUGCAGGGAGCUCCUAUGUUCCAUUCAGAGCUUCUGGGUAGGUACAUUUAAGACUGCUGUAGUAGAAUUGAUAAACACCCUUAUCCCCAGGUGCUCUGUCCUGGAAAAGUGGGGCUUUAUUUAUAAGUUCCUGAUAUGCUGCUGCCUUUUUUCUGAGAUGCCCUGCCCAGCAAGGUGGUAGUCUAGACACAGUCUGCCAGCAGAGGCAUUACUGAGCUGCUGUGAGCUCUGCCCAGCUGCUGUGUAAACUUCCUGUUAGAACUGCUUAGGUAAUAGUGGUCUGCCUUAGUAAUGGUGAACUGCCUUGGUAAUGAUGAACUGCCUCAGUAAUGGUGGACUGCCUUGGUAGUAAUGGACUGUCUUGGUAGUGGUGGACUGCCUUGGUAAUCGCUGACACCCUUCCCCCCACUGAGCUGGAUUGUUCUGGGUCCAGCUACGCUUGCUGUAAAACUCUCCAUCCAGUGCGUUUCAGAUUGCUGGUCUUUGUGGGGGGUGGUACCCGCUGAGCCAGAUCACCUGGCUCCCUGUUUCAGCCCCGCUUUUUUUCAGUUGAAUGACUGGCUUUGUAUCCCAGGCAUUCCAGGCACUUUUUGAAAUGGCUGCCCAUAUUUGUGCGAGUUUUUGUGUGGAGACCUGCAGCACCAGCUGAAACAGCUGUGCUGGAAAUUUGUGGCCCUUUUCAGUCCAGGAAUCUCCUGGUCUAUGGGCAGUAGAAACUCUUUGGAAAUGUGGUGAUCACUCACCCUCUGAAUUCUUCUCGCUGGGAACUGCACUCCAGAGCUGUUCCUAUUCAGCCAUCUUGGACCUCCUCUCACUCCCUGUACUUUUUAAGUUCAAUCUCAAAACACAUCUCUUCCAAUAACUUUGUUAGCAUUUACUUUGAAGCUCCUUUGUGCGUAGAUUUGCUUUAUGUUCCAGUGGUUUGUAAAAUUGUUUUUAAAUCUUUUUUUUAUUGCAUUUUAGGUUGUGGGGUACAUGUGAAGAACAUACAAGAUAGUUGCAUAGGUACACACGUACACACAUGGCAGUGUGAUUUGCUGUCUUCUUCCCCUUCACCUAUAUCUGUCAUUUCUCCCCAUGCUAUCUCUCCCCACCUCCCUACCCCCAGCUGUCCCUCCCCUAUUCCCCCCAACAGACCCCAAUGUAUAGUGCUCCCCUCCCUGUGUCCAUGUGUUCUCAUUGUUCAAUACCCGCUUAUGAGUGAGAACAUGCGGUAUUUCAUUUUCUGUUCUUGUGUCAGUUUGCUAGAAUGAUGUUCUCCAGGUUCAUCCAUGUCCCUACAAAGGACACGAACUCAUUGUUUUUGAUUGCUGCAUAAUAUUCCAUGGUGUAUAUGUGCCACAUUUUCCCUGUCCAGUCUAUCAUCGAUGGAUAUUUGGGUUGAUUCCAGGUCUUUGCUAUUGUAAACAGUGCUGCAAUGAACAUUCGUGUGCAUAUGUCCUUAUAGUAGAAUGAUUUAUACUAUAGUCCUUUGGAUAUAUACCCAGUAAUGGGAUUGCUGGGUCAAAUGGAAUUUUCAUUUCUAGGUCCUUGAGGAAUUGCCCCACUGUCUUCCAAAAUGGUUGAACUAAUUUACACUCCCACCAGCAGUGUAAAAGUGUUCCUAUUUCUCCACAUCCUCUCCAGCAUCUGUUGUCUCCAGAUUUUUUAAUGAUCACCAUUCUAACUGGCAUGAGACAGUAUUUCAAUAUAGUUUUGAUUUGCAUUUCUCUAAUGACCAGUGAUGAUGAGCAUUUUUUCAUAUGUUUGUUGGCCUCAUGUAUGUCUUCUUUUGAAAAGUUUCUCUUCAUAUCCUUUGCCCACUUUGAAUGGGCUUGUUUUUUUUUUUUCUUGUAAAUCUGUUUUAGUUUUUUGUAAAUUCUGGAUAUCAGCCCUUUGUCAGAUGGGUAGACUGCAAAAAUUUUUUCCCAUUCUGUUAGUUGCUGAUUCACUCUAAUUCACUUUUGCUGUACAGAAGCUGUGGAGUUUAAUUAUGUCCUAUUUGUCUAUUUUGGGUUUUGUUGCCAAUGCUUUUGGUGUUUUGGUCAUGAAGUCCUUGCCUACUCGUAUGUCCUGAAUGGUUUUGCCUAGAUUUUCUUCUAGGGUUUUUAUGGUGUUUUCUGGGUUAGAUGGUACAGAGAAUUGCUGGUAUG